RNAcentral lists this ribosomal RNA (427 nucleotides) under uncultured Beggiatoa sp. Its description in RNAcentral is "bacterial SSU rRNA". It matches the Rfam family "Bacterial small subunit ribosomal RNA", at positions 353 to 772 of the family's 1533-position model. Lineage: Bacteria; Pseudomonadati; Pseudomonadota; Gammaproteobacteria; Thiotrichales; Thiotrichaceae. The record is from RNAcentral.
AGUGGGGAAUAUUGGACAAUGGGGGAAACCCUGAUCCAGCAAUGCCGCGUGUGUGAAGAAGGCCUGAGGGUUGUAAAGCACUUUAAGUGGGGAAGAAAACUUCAAUGCUAAUAUCAUUGAGGCUUGACGUUACCCAAAGAAUAAGCACCGGCUAACUCUGUGCCAGCAGCCGCGGUAAUACAGAGGGUGCUAGCGUUAAUCGGAAUUAUUGGGCGUAAAGCGCACGUAGGCGGUUAUAUAAGUCAGAUGUGAAAUCCCCGGGCUUAACCUGGGAACUGCAUUUGAAACUGUAUAACUAGAGUAGAGCAGAGGAGAGUGGAAUUUCCGGUGUAGCAGUGAAAUGCGUAGAGAUCGGAAGGAACACCAGUGGCGAAGGCGACUCUCUGGGUUCAUACUGACGCUGAGGUGCGAAAGCGUGGGGAGCAAA